AUUGAACGCUGGCGGCAGGCCUAACACAUGCAAGUCGAACGGUAACAGGAAGAAGCUUGCUUCUUUGCUGACGAGUGGCGGACGGGUGAGUAAUGUCUGGGAAACUGCCUGAUGGAGGGGGAUAACUACUGGAAACGGUAGCUAAUACCGCAUAACGUCGCAAGACCAAAGAGGGGGACCUUCGGGCCUCUUGCCAUCGGAUGUGCCCAGAUGGGAUUAGCUAGUAGGUGGGGUAACGGCUCACCUAGGCGACGACCCCUAGCUGGUCUGAGAGGAUGACCAGCCACACUGGAACUGAGACACGGUCCAGACUCCUACGGGAGGCAGCAGUGGGGAAUAUUGCACAAUGGGCGCAAGCCUGAUGCAGCCAUGCCGCGUGUAUGAAGAAGGCCUUCGGGUUGUAAAGUACUUUCAGCGGGGAGGAAGGGAGUAAAGUUAAUACCUUUACUCAUUGACGUUACCCGCAGAAGAAGCACCGGCUAACUCCGUG
RNAcentral lists this ribosomal RNA (490 nucleotides) under uncultured bacterium. RNAcentral's name for it is "partial 16S ribosomal RNA". It matches the Rfam family "Bacterial small subunit ribosomal RNA", at positions 30 to 507 of the family's 1533-position model. The record is from RNAcentral.